Molecule: unclassified non-coding RNA, 864 nt
Filed under: Hevea brasiliensis (rubber tree)
Lineage: Eukaryota; Viridiplantae; Streptophyta; Magnoliopsida; Malpighiales; Euphorbiaceae
Source: RNAcentral
GAAAAAAUCUCAUGAAGAUACCUCUCUUGAAGCAAAGGUUGAUUUCUUACUAGAUCAUGUCAAAUGGGACGACAAAGGCCUUGCAGUUGCUAUAGCCCAAAAUGUUGAUACGGGAGCAGUCUUAAUGCAAGGCUUUGCAAACAGAGAGGCUUUGUCAACAACAAUCUCAUCACGUAAAGCAACAUUUUAUAGCCGGUCACGGUCAUCUUUAUGGACAAAGGGAGAGACCUCCAAUAAUUUUAUCAAUGUUUUCGAUGUCUUUCUUGAUUGUGAUCGUGAUUCUAUUAUAUAUCUUGGGAAGCCUGAUGGCCCAACAUGUCACACGGGGUCAGAGACAUGUUAUUACACGCCAGUUGAUGAACUCCUGAAACAUCCAGAGGUUGAGAAAAACGAGCUGGCUUUGACGACUUUAUACGCAUUAGAAUCUACAAUCAACCAAAGGAAGGCAGAAACAUCUAGCUCUUCAAAUGGAAAACCCUCAUGGACGAAGCGAUUGUUGCUUGAUGACAAAUUGCUUUGCUCCAAAAUUCGAGAAGAAGCUAACGAGUUAUGCCAAACUUUGGAGCAAAACGAGGCUAAUGGACGGACUGCCUCAGAGAUGGCAGAUGUCUUGUAUCAUGCCAUGGUUUUGCUUUCUCUUAGAGGAGUAAAACUAGAGGAAGUUAUGCAGGUCCUUAGACAAAGGUUUUCAAAGUCAGGCAUUGAAGAAAAGAAUAGUCGGAAAUCCUAGGACACAUAUGGGUAUACAGUUGAAGAAGGCUUCAUUACAGUCUACGAUUGUUCUUCGUUUUCUACGAGAGAGGGGGGGAGGGGGAAUACUCUAGCUCCCUAAUGCUGUUAAAAGUGUAUGUGUUUGUGUGGGAG